UACGUAGGGUGCGAGCGUUGUCCGGAAUUAUUGGGCGUAAAGAGCUCGUAGGCGGUCUGUCGCGUCGAUCGUGAAAACUUGGGGCUUAACCCUGAGCUUGCGGUGGGUACGGGCAGACUAGAGUGUGGUAGGGGAGACUGGAAUUCCUGGUGUAGCGGUGAAAUGCGCAGAUAUCAGGAGGAACACCGAUGGCGAAGGCAGGUCUCUGGGCCACUACUGACGCUGAGAAGCGAAAGCGUGGGGAGCGAACAGG
RNAcentral lists this ribosomal RNA (253 nucleotides) under uncultured bacterium. Its description in RNAcentral is "partial 16S ribosomal RNA". It matches the Rfam family "Bacterial small subunit ribosomal RNA", at positions 524 to 776 of the family's 1533-position model. The record is from RNAcentral.